Long non-coding RNA from Mauremys mutica (yellowpond turtle), 910 nucleotides. RefSeq lists it as uncharacterized. The record is from RefSeq and is a predicted model, not a curated record. The transcript has 3 exons. Lineage: Eukaryota; Metazoa; Chordata; Testudines; Geoemydidae.
UUGGCCAUUUGUAGGGCUGAGCCUUGUCCUCCCGCUCUGGGAAAAUGGAACACCCCGGAGUUCUGCCUCCAAACGGAGCCUGGGCUUCAGCAGAACUUCUCGGCCUUUGCAGGAUGAGAUUUUUCUUUCCCAACAGGGUAGCAAAAAGCAAAGCAGACGUCCCUGAACUGUUGAGUAUCGCCGACCUCCUAAGAGUUCAGGGCAGACUGGAAGCCCAGGGGAAAUGACCAAUGAGCUGAGAACAUGCAUGGACCUCACCCUGCAGGGGCUCAAGGAAGAGCCUUCGGGCAUACACGACAAGGCCCAGAUAUUGAUCCAAUGCAGAGGAAUAAUGCUGGGAUUUAAAUCUGGAGAUGGGGAAAUGAGAUCUACGUGUAUUACAGCAACGGGGUGCCCCAGUACGACAUGAAAGAGCCAACCGUGGAGGUGCAUCUGGCCCGGCUGCGCUCCCACGCAGAACGGCUCCGUGUGGAGAACCUGCUGAGAGUGCAGAGCCGACUGCAGGCUGGAGGGAAGACGACCGAGCUGCUGAAAUGGGUGUAAAAUGGUUGGAGACCACUGCCCUAUGAGAACAAAUGCCAUCAAGCUGGAAACACCGGUCCCAGGAGGGAAGAGCACUUGGGGAUGGAGGGACACGGCCCCUUUGCUGGGACCCUGCGUCCAGCUGAGACAGAGGAGACGGACCAUUCCUCACGCACACCCAGCAGGCGGCUCCAGGAGCUGGAAUUACAGGUCCCGAGCUAAGGAAUUGCAACAGAGCGUGAGCUGGGCCGUGAGGAACCAGGGGAAACCAGAAUGAACCUGGGGCUGAGGAGCUGCGUGAGGCUGAUCUUUCACUUCCUGGGGGGGACCUGGAACAUCCUGGCGCCCUGCAUCCGAACUCAGAUUUGGCCGAUAUUCCUGUCCUUCA